GCCAGGCGUGGUGGCGCGUGCCUGUAGUCCCAGCUACUCCGGAGGCUGAGGUGGGAGGAUCGCUUGAGCCCAGGAGUUCUGGGCUGCAGUGCGCUAUGCCAAUCGGGCAUCCGCACUAAGUUCGGCAUCAAUACGGUGACCUCCCGGGAGCCGGGGACCACCAGGUUGCCUAAGGAGGGGUGAACUGGCCCAGGUCGGAAACGGAGCAGGUCAAAACUCCUAUGCUGAUCAGUAGUGGUAUUGUGCCUGUGAAUAGCCACUGCAUUCCAGCCUGGGCAACAUAGCGAGAACCUGUCUCU
Cebus imitator (Panamanian white-faced capuchin) is the source of this 299-nucleotide unclassified non-coding RNA. It matches the Rfam family "Metazoan signal recognition particle RNA". Rfam says of the family: The signal recognition particle (SRP) is a universally conserved ribonucleoprotein. It is involved in the co-translational targeting of proteins to membranes. The eukaryotic SRP consists of a 300-nucleotide 7S RNA and six proteins: SRPs 72, 68, 54, 19, 14, and 9. The record is from Ensembl. Lineage: Eukaryota; Metazoa; Chordata; Mammalia; Primates; Cebidae.